RNAcentral lists this ribosomal RNA (1884 nucleotides) under fermentation metagenome. RNAcentral's name for it is "bacterial LSU rRNA". It matches the Rfam family "Bacterial large subunit ribosomal RNA", at positions 3 to 1980 of the family's 2925-position model. The record is from RNAcentral.
UCAAGCUACAAAGAGCGCAAGGGGAAUGCCUUGGCACUGAGAGCCGAUGAAGGACGCAGCAAACUGCGAAAAGCUUCGGGGAGCCGUAAGCAGGCUUUGAUCCGGAGACAUCCGAAUGGAGCAAUCCGGCUGGAGUCAUAUCCAGUCACUGUACAGUCAAUACAUAGCUGUACAGGGGGAACCGCCUGAACUGAAACAUCUAAGUAGGGCGAGGAAGAGACAUCAAAAUGAGAUUCUGCUAGUAGUGGCGAGCGAACGCGGAAGAGGCCAAACCGCAGGUAGCAAUACUUGCGGGGUUCGGACAGCAAUACGCAUGUGAAACCUUAGCUGAAUGGUCUGGGAAGGCCAGUCAAAGAGUGUGAGAGCCACGUAAGUGAAAAGGGGAAACAGCCAGCUGGAUCCAGAGUACCGCCGGACACGAGAAAUCCGGUGGGAAGAUGGGGGGACCACCCUCCAAGCCUAAAUACUACUCAGUGACCGAUAGAGAAUAGUACUGUGAAGGAAAGGUGAAAAGCACCCCGGGAGGGGAGUGAAAUAGAACCUGAAACCUUGUGCUUACAAGCACCGAAAGCCCGUCAAAGGGUGAUCGGGUACCUUUUGUAGAAUGGUCCGGCGAGUAAAUGUAACUGGCAAGGUUAAGGACUUUAGGUCCGGAGCCGUAGCGAGAGCAAGUCUGAAUAGGGCGUAUGAAGUCAGUUGUAUUUGACCCGAAACCGGGUGACCUACCCAUGUCCAGGUUGAAGUGGAGGUAAAACUCCAUGGAGGACCGAACCGACUCCCGUUGAAAUGGUAGCGGAUGAGAUGUGGGUAGCGGAGAAAUUCCAAUCGAACCCGGAGAUAGCUGGUUCUCUCCGAAAUAGCUUUAGGGCUAGCCUUGUAUUAGAUUACCGGAGGUAAAGCACUGAAUGGUUAAGGGACCGAAAGGUUACCAAGACCUAUCAAACUCUGAAUGCCGGAUAAUUGAUGUACAGGAGUCAGACGGCGGGAGAUAAGUUUCGUCGUCAAAAGGGAAACAGCCCAGACCCACAGCUAAGGUCCCAAAACACGGUUAAGUGGAAAAGGAUGUGGGGUUGCACAGACAACCAGGAUGUUGGCUCAGAAGCAGCCAUACAUUAAAAGAGUGCGUAAUAGCUCACUGGUCGAGUGACCCUGCGCCGAAAAUUUAACGGGGCUAAAUCGUGUACCGAAGCUUGGGAUGCAGCAAUGCAUGGUAGGAGAGCGUUCUGUACGGGGCGAAAUGAGAGCGAAAGCGCUUGUGGACUGUACAGAAGUGAGAAUGCCGGAAUGAGUAGCGAGAAAUGUGUGAGAAUCAUAUUGGCCGAAAAUCUAAGGUUUCUGGAGGAAGGUUCGUCCGCUCCAGGUAAGCCGGGAGCUAAGGCGAGGCCGAAAGGCGUAGUCGAUGCACAUACGGUGGAUAAUCCGUAGCCGCCAAAAGAUUUAAGAUAAGUGACACCUGAGAAGUCUAUAACCCGGGCGAUGGUUGCCCCGGGCGUAAGGGACCGAAAUUAGAGUAGGGAAGUAUAGAUGGAACAGGGCAAGAAAAGCUUAUUGGUAUAUCUGAGGCGCCCGUACCGCAAACCGACACAGGUAGAUAGGAAGAGAAUUCUAAGGCCAACGGGAGAAGGGUAGUUAAGGAACUCGGCAAAUUGGCCCCGUAACUUCGGAAUAAGGGGCGCCCACGCAAGUGGGCCGCAGUGAAAAGGCUCAGGCGACUGUUUAUCAAAAACACAGGUUUCUGCAAAAUCGAAAGAUGACGUAUAGGAGCUGACACCUGCCCGGUGCUGGAAGGUUAAGAGGAGAUGUGCAAGCAUUGAAUUGAAGCCCCAGUAAACGGCGGCCGUAACUAUAACGGUCCUAAGGUAGCGAAAUUCCUUGUCGGGUAAG